Molecule: long non-coding RNA, 634 nt
Filed under: Carica papaya (papaya)
Lineage: Eukaryota; Viridiplantae; Streptophyta; Magnoliopsida; Brassicales; Caricaceae
Description: long non-coding RNA (CPAP_LNC015511)
Source: RNAcentral
ACAACGGACGCUGAGCAGUGCCACACGAGUGAUUUGCGUGCCCGCGAUCGGACGGCCCAGAUCUGCUCCUGCGCGCAUGGACGGCCCAGAUGCGUGCUUUCUCCAAACGCGAUCAGACGGUCAGAUUUAAACGCGAUCAAUGGUCCAGAUCUACUUCCCAUUUAAUCACGAUUGAAUAGUACAGAUCAAAUGCGAUGGACGGUCCAAAUUAAAAGGGACGGAUAUAAAUAACUCUCUUCACAUCAAACCCUAACCCUAGUCGCUAGACACCCUCGCCGGAGAAGAAGACCUAGCCGUUGGGAAGGAGAGCCGCUGCCACCCACCGUCGCGUUAGAGCCACUUCCGACCGUUGAAAAAAGUAAAUUUUUUUUCCUUUGCUUGGAAUUCCAUUUUAAACACCCCCAUGGGCAAAUCAGAGCCAGAAGACUGGCGAAUUGUCAAAAAUUGGGGGCAAAGCCCAGCUGUGCCACCAUAGAAAAUUUUAAAAACCGUUUCCGAUGAGGCCCUUCCUGAUUCUCGUUAUGCAUAAUUCUUUCACCAUUGUAACCGUCAUUUCCUCCUCUACAGGUUGACUGAAUUAAAGCACCCGACCGUAAAGGUGAGUUGGCGGAGCCACCGCACCAGAGAACCUCGC